This 191-nucleotide ribosomal RNA is filed under the name uncultured bacterium. RNAcentral's name for it is "partial 16S ribosomal RNA". It matches the Rfam family "Bacterial small subunit ribosomal RNA", at positions 707 to 894 of the family's 1533-position model. The record is from RNAcentral.
CACCGGUGGCGAAGGCGGUCUUCUGGAUUAUUGCUGACACUGAGAGACGAAAGCGUGGGGAGCAAACAGAAUUAGAUACUCUGGUAGUCCACGCCCUAAACGAUGUAUGCUUGUUGUUGGUUUCCCUUCCGGGGAAUUAGUGACGUAGUUAACGCGUUAAGCAUACCGCCUGGGGAGUACGAUCGCAAGAU